This 155-nucleotide ribosomal RNA is filed under the name bacterium SC132. RNAcentral describes it as "partial 16S ribosomal RNA". It matches the Rfam family "Bacterial small subunit ribosomal RNA", at positions 337 to 484 of the family's 1533-position model. The record is from RNAcentral.
UCCUACGGGAGGCAGCAGUGGGGAAUAUUGGACAAUGGGCGCAAGCCUGAUCCAGCCAUGCCGCGUGUGUGAAGAAGGCCUUUUGGUUGUAAAGCACUUUAAGCGAGGAGGAGGCUUACCUGGUUAAUACCUGGGAUAAGUGGACGUACUCGCAG